UGGGUAACCUGCCCAAGAGACUGGGAUAACACCUGGAAACAGAUGCUAAUACCGGAUAACAACACUAGACGCAUGUCUAGAGUUUAAAAGAUGGUUCUGCUAUCACUCUUGGAUGGACCUGCGGUGCAUUAGCUAGUUGGUAAGGUAACGGCUUACCAAGGCAAUGAUGCAUAGCCGAGUUGGGAGACUGAUCGGCCACAUUGGGACUGAGACACGGCCCAAACUCCUACGGAAGGCAGCAG
RNAcentral lists this ribosomal RNA (242 nucleotides) under uncultured bacterium. Its description in RNAcentral is "partial 16S ribosomal RNA". It matches the Rfam family "Bacterial small subunit ribosomal RNA", at positions 118 to 354 of the family's 1533-position model. The record is from RNAcentral.